GAUGAACGCUGGCGGCGUGCCUAAUACAUGCAAGUCGAGCGAACGGACGAGAAGCUUGCUUCUCUGAUGUUAGCGGCGGACGGGUGAGUAACACGUGGAUAACCUACCUAUAAGACUGGGAUAACUUCGGGAAACCGUAGCUAAUACCGGAUAAUAUUUUGAACCGCAUGGUUCAAAAGUGAAAGACGGUCUUGCUGUCACUUAUAGAUGGAUCCGCGCUGCAUUAGCUAGUUGGUAAGGUAACGGCUUACCAAGGCAACGAUGCAUAGCCAACCUGAGAGGGUGAUCGGCCACACUGGAACUGAGACACGGUCCAAACUCCUACGGGAGGCAGCAGUAGGGAAUCUUCCGCAAUGGGCGAAAGCCUGACGGAGCAACGCCGCGUGAGUGAUGAAGGUCUUCGGAUCGUAAAACUCUGUUAUUAGGGAAGAACAUAUGUGUAAGUAACUGUGCACAUCUUGACGGUACCUAAUCAGAAAGCCACGGCUAACUACGUG
RNAcentral lists this ribosomal RNA (497 nucleotides) under uncultured bacterium. Its description in RNAcentral is "partial 16S ribosomal RNA". It matches the Rfam family "Bacterial small subunit ribosomal RNA", at positions 28 to 507 of the family's 1533-position model. The record is from RNAcentral.